RNAcentral lists this ribosomal RNA (496 nucleotides) under uncultured bacterium. RNAcentral describes it as "partial 16S ribosomal RNA". It matches the Rfam family "Bacterial small subunit ribosomal RNA", at positions 28 to 507 of the family's 1533-position model. The record is from RNAcentral.
GAUGAACGCUGGCGGCGUGCCUAAUACAUGCAAGUCGAGCGAACGGACGAGAAGCUUGCUUCACUGAUGUUAGCGGCGACGGGGGAAGAAAACGUGGAAAAACUACCCUAAAAAAUGGGUUAAAUUCCGGAAACCGGGGCUAAAUCCCGAUGAUAAUUUUAACCGGAAGGGUCAAAAAUGAAAAACCGUCUUUCCGUUCCAUAUAAGAGGGUUCCAACUCCAUUAGGUAGUUGGUAAGGUAAAGGCUUACCAAAGCAACCAUGCAUAAGCCACCUGAGAGGGUGAUGGGCCACGCUGGAACUGAGACACGGUCCAGACUCCUACGGGAGGCAGCAGUAGGGAAUCUUCCGCAAUGGGCGAAAGCCUGACGGAGCAACGCCGCGUGAGUGAUGAAGAUCUUCGGAUCGUAAAACUCUGUUAUUAGGGAAGAACAUAUGUGUAAGUACCUGUGCACAUCUUGACGGUACCUAAUCAGAAAGCCACGGCUAACUACGUG